Molecule: ribosomal RNA, 411 nt
Filed under: uncultured Eubacteriales bacterium
Lineage: Bacteria; Bacillati; Bacillota; Clostridia; Eubacteriales
Description: bacterial SSU rRNA
Rfam family: Bacterial small subunit ribosomal RNA
Source: RNAcentral
AGGGAAUAUUGCGCAAUGGACGGAAGUCUGACGCAGCGACGCCGCGUGAGCGAUGAAGGUCUUCGGAUCGUAAAGCUCUGUCCUUGGGGAAGAAGGUCUUCGGACUUGACGGUACCCAAGAAGAAAGCCCCGGCUAACUACGUGCCAGCAGCCGCGGUAAUACGUAGGGGGCAAGCGUUAUCCGGAUUUACUGGGUGUAAAGGGUGCGUAGGUGGCAUGGUAAGUUAGAUGUGAAAGCCCAAGGCUCAACCUUGGGAUUGCAUCUAAAACUGCCAAGCUAGAGUGCAGGAGAGGAAAGUGGAAUUCCUAGUGUAGCGGUGAAAUGCGUAGAUAUUAGGAGGAACACCAGUAGCGAAGGCGACUUUCUGGACUGUAACUGACACUGAGGCACGAAAGCGUGGGUAGCAAACA